RNAcentral lists this ribosomal RNA (468 nucleotides) under uncultured bacterium. RNAcentral's name for it is "partial 16S ribosomal RNA". It matches the Rfam family "Bacterial small subunit ribosomal RNA", at positions 28 to 507 of the family's 1533-position model. The record is from RNAcentral.
GACGAACGCUGGCGGCGUGCUUAACACAUGCAAGUCGAACGGAAAGGCCCUGCUUUUGUGGGGGGCUCGAGUGGCGACCGGGUGAGAAAAACGAGAGUAACUUGCUUUAGAUCUUGGGUAAACUUCAGGAAACUGGGGCAAAAACAGGUUAGGAGCCCCUGCGGCAUGGAGGGGGUUGGAAAGUCUCGGGGGCUGGGGAUGGACUCGCGGCUUAUUUGCUUGUUGGUGGGGGAGUGGCUUACCAAGGCUUGGACGGAUAGCCGGCCUGAGAGGGUUACCGGCGACAUAGGGACUGGAAUACUGCCCGAGGUCCUACGAGGGGAAACAGUGGGAUGUAAUGCACAAUGGGCGGGAACCGGAUGCUGCAACACCGCGUGCUGUAGGACGGCCUUCGGGUUGUAAACCGCUUACGCCUGUGACGAAGCGUAAAUGACGGUAAUGGAUAAGUAAGCACCGGCUAACUACGUG